This 274-nucleotide ribosomal RNA is filed under the name uncultured bacterium. RNAcentral's name for it is "partial 16S ribosomal RNA". It matches the Rfam family "Bacterial small subunit ribosomal RNA", at positions 523 to 796 of the family's 1533-position model. The record is from RNAcentral.
AUACGAAGGGGGCUAGCGUUGUUCGGAUUUACUGGGCGUAAAGCGCACGUAGGCGGAUUGAUUAGUUAGGGGUGAAAUCCCGAGGCUCAACCUCGGAACUGCCUCUAAAGCUGUCAAUCUCGAGACCGGAAGAGGUGAGUGGAACUCCUAGUGUAGAGGUGGAAUUCGUAGAUAUUAGGAAGAACACCAGUGGCGAAGGUGGCUCACUGGUCCGGUACUGACGCUGAGGUGCGAAAGCGUGGGGAGCGAACAGGAUUAGAAACCCUAGUAGUCC